RNAcentral lists this ribosomal RNA (500 nucleotides) under uncultured bacterium. Its description in RNAcentral is "bacterial SSU rRNA". It matches the Rfam family "Bacterial small subunit ribosomal RNA", at positions 975 to 1482 of the family's 1533-position model. The record is from RNAcentral.
CCGGGCUUCGAACGUUGCAGGAAGGAUCUAGAGAUAGUGACGCCCUUCGGGGCCUGUGUGGAGGUGCUGCAUGUUGUCGUCAGCUCGUGCCGUGAGGUGUCGGCUUAAGUGCCAUAACGAGCGCAACCCUUCUCGCGAGUUACCAUCAGGUGAUGCUGGGGACUUCUUCGCGACACUGCCCACCGUAAGGGUGUGAGGAAGGUGGGGAUGACGUCAAAUCAGCACGGCCCUUACGUCCGGGGCUACACACGUGCUACAAUGGCGCGCACAGAAGGCAGCGACCCUGCGAGGGGGAGCGAAUCCCGAAAGCGCGUCUCAGUUCGGAUCGGAGUCUGCAACCCGACUCUGUGAAGUUGGAUUCGCUAGUAAUCGCGCAUCAGCCAUGACGCGGUGAAUACGUUCCCGGGCCUUGUACACACCGCCCGUCAAGCCAUGGAAGAUGGUGGUACCUGAAGUCUGGUGUAAGCAGCCGGCCUAGGGUAAAACUGUUAACUGGGGCU